AAAGUUCCCUUCGGGGAAUAAGUAGAGUGGCGCACGGGUGAGUAACACGUAGGUAAUCUACCUUCGGGUGGGGAAUAACCCAGGGAAACUUGGGCUAACACCGCAUGAUGCAGCGGCACCACAUGGUGACAGUUGUUAAAGCGGGGGAUUUUCGGACCUCGCGCCUGAAGAGGAGCCUGCGGCGGAUUAGCUAGUUGGUGAGGUAACGGCUCACCAAGGUGACGAUCCGUAGCCGGCCUGAGAGGGCGGUCGGCCACACUGACACUGACAUACGGGUCAGACUCCUACGGGAGGCAGCAGUCGGGAAUUUUGGGCAAUGGGCGAAAGCCUGACCCAGCAACGCCGCGUGAAGGAUGAAAUCCCUCGGGAUGUAAACUUCGCAAGAAUGGGAAGAAUUAGUAGGGGUUAAUACCCCCUAUGAUGACGGUACCAUUUGUAAGCUCCGGCUAACUCCGUGCCAGCAGCCGCGGUAAUACGGGGGGAGCAAGCGUUGUUCGGAUUUACUGGGCGUAAAGGGCGCGUAGGCGGCCAGCGCAAGUCAGUUGUGAAAUCUCCGGGCUUAACUCGGAAAGGUCAACUGAUACUGCGCGGCUAGAGUGCGGAAGGGGCAACUGGAAUUCUCGGUGUAGCGGUGAAAUGCGUAGAUAUCGAGAGGAACACCUGCGGCGAAGGCGGGUUGCUGGGCCGACACUGACGCUGAGGCGCGAAAGCCAGGGGAGCGAACGGGAUUAGAUACCCCGGUAGUCCUGGCCUUAAACGAUGGAUGCUUGGUGUCUGGGGUUUUAUAGUCCCCGGGUGCCGCAGCUAACGCG
RNAcentral lists this ribosomal RNA (812 nucleotides) under uncultured Actinomycetes bacterium. RNAcentral describes it as "bacterial SSU rRNA". It matches the Rfam family "Bacterial small subunit ribosomal RNA", at positions 70 to 859 of the family's 1533-position model. Lineage: Bacteria; Bacillati; Actinomycetota; Actinomycetes. The record is from RNAcentral.